RNAcentral lists this ribosomal RNA (419 nucleotides) under bacterium. RNAcentral describes it as "partial 16S ribosomal RNA". It matches the Rfam family "Bacterial small subunit ribosomal RNA", at positions 355 to 776 of the family's 1533-position model. The record is from RNAcentral.
UGGGGGAUAUUGCACAAUGGGCGAAAGCCUGAUGCAGCGACGCCGCGUGGGGGAUGAAGGCCUUCGGGUUGUAAACUUCUUUUGCUCUGAACAAGGCGCACCAUGGGGUGUGUUGAGUGUAGGGGUUGAUUAGCGCCGGCUAACUACGUGCCAGCAGCCGCGGUAAUACGUAGGGCGCGAGCGUUGUCCGGAAUUAUUGGGCGUAAAGGGCUUGUAGGUGGCUGGUUGCGUCUGUCGUGAAAGCUCAUGGCUUAACUGUGGGUUUGCGGUGGGUACGGGCUGGCUUGAGUGCAGUAGGGGAGGCUGGAAUUCCGGGUGUAGCGGUGGAAUGCGCAGAUAUCAGGAGGAAUACCGGUGGAGAAGGCGGGGCUCUGGGCUGUUACUGACACUGAGGAGCGAAAGCAUGGGGAGCGAACAGG